CAACCCUCGAACCCCUCCGGGGGGUCGGCGUUGGGGAUCGGCCCCUCACCGGGCCGCCCCCGAAAUACAGUGGCGGNCUCGCCGCAGCCUCUCAUGCACAGUAGUUUGCACACUCGCACCGGGAGCGCGGCGCGGCCACAGCCGUAAAACACCCCAAAUUUUCUGAAAUG
RNAcentral lists this ribosomal RNA (170 nucleotides) under Trichoderma longibrachiatum. Its description in RNAcentral is "internal transcribed spacer 2 (ITS2)". Lineage: Eukaryota; Fungi; Ascomycota; Sordariomycetes; Hypocreales; Hypocreaceae. The record is from RNAcentral.